GACGAACGCUGGCGGCGUGCUUAACACAUGCGAGUCGAACGGAAAGGCCCUGCUUUUGUGGGGUGCUCGAGUGGCGAACGGGUGAGUAACACGUGAGUAACCUGCCCUUGACUUUGGGAUAACUUCAGGAAACUGGGGCUAAUACCGGAGAGGAGCUCCUGCUGCAGGGGGGGGGUUGGAAAGUUUCGGCGGUGGGGGGUGGACGCGCGGCUUAUCAGCUUGUUGGGGGGGGGGUGGCUUACCAAGGCUUUGACGGGUAGCCGGCCUGAGAGGGUGACCGGCCACAUUGGGACUGAGAUACGGCCCAGACUCCUACGGGAGGCAGCAGUGGGGAAUAUUGCACAAUGGGCGGAAGCCUGAUGCAGCAACGCCGCGUGCGGGAUGACGGCCUUCGGGUUGUAAACCGCUUUCGCCUGUGACGAAGCGUGAGUGACGGUAAUGGGUAAAGAAGCACCGGCUAACUACGUG
This 468-nucleotide ribosomal RNA is filed under the name uncultured bacterium. RNAcentral describes it as "partial 16S ribosomal RNA". It matches the Rfam family "Bacterial small subunit ribosomal RNA", at positions 28 to 507 of the family's 1533-position model. The record is from RNAcentral.